AACUCUUCCCGAGCUUGAGCAUACAGUCACCAACCUGGAAAAUACAUGGAAACAGAAGGAGGAGGUACCUUCAUAAAUCCAUGAUAAUUAAAUACAUUCAUAUGUGCUUUUCCCUUGCAGUUAAUACCUGUCUGAUGCAAGCAGUUCAUGCGAUUCAAAAUGCAGAUUCUCAUCAAUGUAUGCAGAUGCUGUGAUCGGGUCCCCAAUAUUGUCUUCCCACACAAGACACCCAGAUUCCUGAAAUAAAUUCCAAAACAAAAGUCUUGACUCAUGGUACUGAAGUUUUGAGACGAGUACCACAAAAACAACUGAUCCUCAUGAACGUCCCUAUCAAUGUCCUUGCAGUAAUAAAACUCAAC
RNAcentral lists this long non-coding RNA (359 nucleotides) under Arabidopsis thaliana (thale cress). Its description in RNAcentral is "long non-coding RNA (ATHA_LNC000432)". The record is from RNAcentral. Lineage: Eukaryota; Viridiplantae; Streptophyta; Magnoliopsida; Brassicales; Brassicaceae.